AUGGCGGUGCUGCUGGAGACCACCCUGGGCGACCUGGUCGUCGACUUGUACAGCGAGGAGCGGCCCAGAGCUUGUUUGAAUUUUCUGAAGUUGUGCAAAAUAAAAUACUACAAUUACUGCCUGAUUCAUAAUGUUCAGAGAGAUUUUAUCAUUCAAACUGGUGACCCUUUGGGGACGGGCCGAGGAGGCGAGUCGGUGUUUUGUAAACUGUACGGUGACCAGGCUAGCUUUUUUGAAGCGGAAAAAGUGCCGCGUAUUAAGCACAAGAAAAAGGGCACUGUGUCAAUGGUGAACAAUGGCAGUGAUCAACACGGGUCUCAGUUUCUUAUUACUACAGGGGAAAAUCUUGAUUACCUCGAUGGUGUACACACAGUUUUUGGUGAGGUAACGGAAGGCAUGGAUGUACUGAUGAAAAUAAAUGAGACCUUUGUGGAUAAGGAAUUCGUACCUUAUCAGGACAUAAGGAUAAACCAUACAGUGAUUCUAGAUGACCCAUUUGAUGAUCCACCCGGCUUACCAAUUCCUGAUCGCUCACCGGAUCCCACCAAGGAGCAAUUAAACAGUGGCCGAAUAGGAGCAGAUGAAGAGAUCGAUGAUUUCAAAGGAAAGUCCGUUGAAGAAGUGGAAGAAAUCAUGGCAGAGAAAGAGGCAAAGACCCAGGCAAUUCUUUUGGAAAUGGUGGGGGAUUUACCGGAUGCCGAUAUAAAACCUCCAGAAAAUGUGCUUUUUGUGUGUAAAUUGAAUCCUGUGACUACAGAUGAAGACCUAGAGAUAAUAUUCUCAAGAUUUGGGUCCAUAAAAAGCUGUGAAGUUAUUCGAGACUGGAAGACAGGAGAAUCUCUUUGUUAUGCCUUUAUUGAGUUUGAAAAGGAAGAAGAUUGUGAGAAAGCCUACUUCAAGAUGGAUAACGUGCUUAUAGAUGACAGAAGAAUUCAUGUAGAUUUUAGCCAGUCCGUUGCAAAGAUCAAAUGGAGAGGGAAAGGUGGGAAAUACACAAAAGAUGAUUUCAAGGAUUACGAAAAGGAACGUGACAAAACUUCCAAAUUAGCUCUAAAGGAGAAAGUAAAGCCCAAACAGGAUGCAAAAUAUGACCUUAUUCUGGAUGAAGAGAGGGAAGAUUCCAGAACGCAUCACUCCUGCCCAGGCAAAAAACACAAGAAGAAAAAACACUCCCAUUCUGAUGAAGAGGAGGAUGUCGGGCAAAUCAGGAAGCACAAGGACGCGGGUAAAGAGCCGGGACGCCGGAACUACGAUGAGGAAUGUUUUCGGGAGAAACGAAAAGGUGAAAGGAAAAACAGGCAUCAAAGCCGCAGUCGCAGCCGAUCUCGGGACAGAGACAAACGACAUGCCUACGGUAAAUCUAAAGACAGAGCCGAAGAAGAACCCCGAGAGAGAGAGAAGAGGAGGGACAGAAGUAGAACCCCUAAGAAGUCCAAAGACAAAGAACGAUCUAAGAACAGAUGAGGAAAAAGGACGUGGAAGAAGGUGGCUGGUAUAUGAAUUCUAAUCCCGUGUCUGUCAUCGUCCUGCUGGUGGAUUUUCUGAACUGUUGGCCCCCACCUUUGAUGGCCCCAUUUGUGGGUGGACUUGCCUCCAAACAAGGGACCCUACUACUCCCACACAAUAAAUUCCAAGAUAGUGGCACCUGUCAAAAUCUCCCGGACAGAUCGGUCCCAGAACACCUAUAGGAAAGCCCUACUGCACCCUCCAACUCCCUGGAGCUAUCAGAGCAGCUCUUCAGUCACUGAAUCAAAGCAGUUAAAUACCAUUCCUGCCACCAGCAUGCUUGAUUUAUUUCUCUUGGGUUAUAUGGAUGUUCAAGAUGAUCGCCGCCGUUUUAAUAGUAAGCCGCCGAGGCCGACACCGGAGAGAUAAUGAAGGUUAGAGAGACAGGAACUUUUCGCCUGAAACAGCAGUUCCUUAAAGAAGUCGGAACCACGAAGGAGCGUCGCCUCCCUUGCCAUCCCCUUGAGACUCUGGCCUGGCCCGGCACGCCGUCUCUCCGAAGACCAUCAAGAAACUGAGGAAUGGAUGAAAGAGCUUCAGGG
This is an RNA transcript of Tachyglossus aculeatus (Australian echidna), 2048 nucleotides long. It is a transcript of the gene named peptidylprolyl isomerase like 4, with no coding region annotated. The transcript is spliced from 15 exons. Lineage: Eukaryota; Metazoa; Chordata; Mammalia; Monotremata; Tachyglossidae. The record is from RefSeq and is a predicted model, not a curated record.